This is a long non-coding RNA of Macaca mulatta (Rhesus monkey), 1928 nucleotides long. The record is from Ensembl. NCBI's taxonomy places the organism in Eukaryota, Metazoa, Chordata, Mammalia, Primates, Cercopithecidae.
GAGGGGGUAUUGGAUGACAUUAACAUUUAAAUCAGUAGACUAAGUAAAGCAGAUGAACGUGGGUGGGACUCAUCCAAUUGAUUGAAGGCCUGAAUAGAACAAAAGUGCCAACACCCCUGAGUAAGAAUUCCUACCAGUGACCUUCAAACUGGACAUCAGCUUUUUCCUGCCUUUAGACUCAAUUGAAACAUUAGCUUUUCCUGGGUCUUGAGCCUUCAGAUUGGAACAAUACUCCCAGUCCUCCUGGGCCUCGAGUUUGCUAACUCAACCUGCAGAUCUUGGGACUUGCUAGCCUCCAUAAUCAUGUGAGCCAAUUCCUUAUCAUAAAGCUCUGUCUAUAUGUACAUCUUAUUGGUUCCAUUUUUCUGGAAAACUGACAUAGCCACCAUUAUCACAUACUGAAUUCUUACAUGAUCUUAGGCCUUUACAUAUAUUUUUUUUCAGACUCUGAAAUACUUAGUUUAUUCUAGCCGUUAAAGAUGCAUCUUUGCCCCAGUGCGGUGGCUCACGCCUGUAAUCCUAGCAAUUUGGGGGGCCGAGGUGGGUGGAUCACCUGAAGUCAGGAGUUCAAGACCAACCUGGCCAACAUGGUGAAACCUUCUCUCUACUAAAAAUACAAAAAUUAGCUAGGCACAUGCCACCAUGCCAAGCUAAUUUUUGUAUUUUUAGUAGAGACCGGGCUUUACCAUGUUGGCCAGGAUGGUCUUGAUCCCUUGACCUCGUGAUUGGCCCACCUCGGCCUCCCAAAGUGCUGGGAUUAUAGGUAUGAGCCACUGCGCCCGGCCACUAUUUGCAUUUUUUAAGGUGUCAUUCAAUAAACUUAUAGUUUCCUUUACAUAGCCUGCACAUUUAAUUCUAUAUGUUUUUUAGAACAUGUAAACAUCUUGACCAAGUUUUAUAGUUUCCUUCACAUAGACCACACAUUUAUUUAAUUCUAGAUAUUUUUUAGCACAUGGAAGCAUCUUGAUCAAGCUUGUCUAACCUGUGGCCCAUGGGCUGCAUGUUGCCCAGGAUGGCUUUGAAUGCAGCCCAGCACAAAUUUGUAAACUUUCUUAAAACAUCAUGUGUAGGGAGACCCCCUGAAACUGUUGCUACGGAAUAAAAGAUGAAAUGCUUCUGAUUAUUGUAAAUUCAAAAUUGCAUGCGGGAUUGUGUAAAGACCAUGCCAGGUUGGACUGUCAGAAUGAGCCAACAGCGUGUGAUGUGCUUCCCCCUGCAGAGAGCCUAUGAAUGGACGCGCAGUCAGGGAGGUUUCACAACACCAAGAUUCCUAUCCCGGAAAAGCAGAUGUUUAUAGCUGUGGGAAUGGAAUGCGACCCUCGUGGAAAACCUAUAAACAGGCGCAUGGGGGGCAUCUGUCCAUAUGGAUAAGAUAGGGCUAUAAAUGCCCUUAUCUUGCCGUGGCUCUUCUAGGCCUCUUUAGGGUUCAUACUCCCUUCUGAGAAUUUCUGGUCUAACUGAUUGUCUAACUUCAGGUCCUGUUUCUAUGAAUUGUUUGUAACCAGCUUUUGCUGCAACUGUUACUGUUCAUUAAUAUCUUGCUAAUCAUAGGUUAUGGAAAGACCGUGUUCCUGUUUUAAGGCUCUGUUAGAAAUUAAACUUCACCUCCUGUUUCUAUGAACUGUUUGUAAUGAGCUUUUGCUGUAACUGUUACUGCUGUUCCUGUUUUAAGGCUCUGUUGGAAAUUACUGAUGCACACACUAUGUUGUAAAUUCUUAUCUCUGUAUACUGUACUUCUCUGUACAGAUGUUAUGUUAAAGAAUUACUUCAUCCCCAUGUGACCAUCUCACCACAUAAUCAAAUAACCCUAAAUCCCUCACUAACGUACCCCCGCCCUCACUAAACUCAGUAAUAAAUGCUGGCAUAUCCAGGGCAUUGUUGGCACCACGGGACCAGAAGGCUGUGACCCCCCUGGACCCAGCUUUCAC